GGUUAAGUCAGGCAACGAGCAAGACCCGUGCCCACAGUUGCCAGCAUACCCUCCGGGGUGAUGGGCACACUGUGGGGACCGCCGCUGCUAAAGCGGAGGAAGGCGCGGGCUACGGUAGGUCAGUAUGCCCCGAAUAUCCCGGGCUACACGCGAGCUACAAUGGUUGGGACAAUGGGCACCUACACCGAGAGGUGAUGGUAAUCUCCUAAACCCAGCCUUAGUUCGGAUUGAGGGCUGCAACUCGCCCUCAUGAAGCCGGAAUCCGUAGUAAUCGCGUAUCAAUAUCACGCGGUGAAUACGUCCCUGCUCCUUGCACA
RNAcentral lists this ribosomal RNA (317 nucleotides) under uncultured archaeon. RNAcentral describes it as "bacterial SSU rRNA". It matches the Rfam family "Archaeal small subunit ribosomal RNA", at positions 1027 to 1343 of the family's 1478-position model. The record is from RNAcentral.